CUCUAGCUGUGGGAGGUGCUGUGACCUGUGCUGAGGGGGCUUUCUUGGCCCCACCUGCAGCUGCUGCGCGCGGCAGUGGAGAAGGGCUGGAGAGACCUGUGUUCCCAGUCUUUGCUGGAAGUUGUGGGUGAGCUUACUUCUUUAUCUGGAAAAAGAGAAAAAGUUUACUAGCAUCUCAGAAGGAAACAUUCAGCUUUGACUUACCAAGGCAUUUAAUGUCUUUAUAGGUGUAAAAAACCAAUAAAGUGCCGGCAGAUGGCGCCCAAGAAUAUCAAGUGCGGAGUCUAGAAUUAGUGGGCCUGGGCGUCAUUUGCUUUUGUCUAUUACCUGAAUACUGCCUUACAUGCAGCUCUUAGGAAACACCUUCUAGGCUGAGCUUCUUAAAGUAAUUUAUAAAACAGCAAGUACCACAUCGAACUGACAGUCACCCGUUGCCAUGUGUGAGAACUGAAACCUGGAGACUGCUUGUAGGAAGGAGUGGCUUUGCAGCACUAGUAGCAGGGGAAGAGAAGCACUGCAGGACUGCAGAAGGUCUAAUGAGGCUUGGUCCUGUUCUUCAGGAGUGUAAAGGGUUAUGGCCAAACUGGUGGACUGGCUCAGCACCUGUCUGGCUGCCUGAAGGAAGCUUUUAAAGAAAGUCUGCGACAGAUCAGAUCAUUUCUGAUCGAGGCAGGGAACACUGAUGUCUUCUACUGAUGGCCGAAGGCUCCCCUGCAUUUUUCAUCCGAAAGGCAGCAGCUCCCACCGCAUGGAUACCUUGAGAUAUGCUAAUCGGGACCCCUCCUGAGACUUUCCUCACGUCAAGCAGUAAGUCAGGGGAAAAGAUUCAUUUUGCUUAGUGGGACUGCUGCCACGCGUACGUAUCUUUGCACACAUCGCAUCACAGCAGAACGGGCUCUGCAGCGAUAAGAGAUUUGUCGUGCCUUCUUCUUAAGUUACGCAACACUGAAUUUGCGGUUUCCUUCCUCUGAAUACUUUCCAUGAACUAAUUUCUUUACGUAGCGACAUAUGGGAGAAUAAAUCAUUUGUGGGAUUAAAAAUCCAUAGUAACGUCGGAGAAGGGCAAAUACAGAAUUGCAGGCCCCUUUGCUCUAGCUGCGGUGGCUAUAUGGGUGGAAAUCACAUCCAAAUGUAUGCCAUGCCAGUUAAAUCAAGCGUCACCCUGAGGGCUUCGGCCAGUGCUCCAGCCCCGGGUCGGAAAACAAAGAACUAACACACAGAGGCCGGCGUGAAUGUUUUGCUUUGUGAACGAGCGGCUAAUGUUUCCCUGCACCAGUCGCACAGUUUAAAAUCACAUUUUCAAGCGACGGUUAAAUCCGUUCAGGCGGCUGAUUCA
RNA transcript from Struthio camelus australis, 1336 nucleotides. RefSeq lists it as uncharacterized. The record is from RefSeq and is a predicted model, not a curated record. NCBI's taxonomy places the organism in Eukaryota, Metazoa, Chordata, Aves, Struthioniformes, Struthionidae.